ACAUCUUCAGAGUCAUAAAGUAGGAGGUUUUUUCAAGUCUAUGUUCUACCCAAGUAACCACAAGCACUAAAUCAAAACUCUAAAUUCACUCUAAAUAAACAUUCCCGAUGCUAUGACACUUUAAAUAGUCUUUCCAAAUGUUUCGAAACAUUUGUAGCUUGAAACAUUAUUACUUACCGUAUAAUGACAUAUAGAACAGCCAAUUAAAGUUUCGAAGCAUUUAGCACAACAAUGUUUCGAAGCAUUAGUGGUAAGCUUUAUAUAUCACUGUAGAGUAAGCUUUUAAUGUUACAUCACAUUUUGACAUUUCUUAAAAAGUUUCAAAACACUAACUUAACACUAGUGAGGGCAAUAAAAGUUUGGAAGUAUUUCGUGGUAUGUUUAUGUUUGCUGCAGGUAAAAUCGUUCGGCGCACGGUUCAGCGUCUAUAAAAAUAACAGCUCCUUAUCGUCGCAAGAUACAAUUUUCUAGUUACGAUGGCUUCCUGAAAAAACAAAACUAGAAAGGAGGAGUUUUCGCUCUACGCCAGCUUCAACGACACUUUCGUCCACGCCACGGAUCUUUCGGGCAAAGAAACAACCUCGCGCGUCACCGGCAACAUGAACGGCGGAAACCGCACCAAGACCCCGGGACCGGGUGCUCAGUCGACGCACCGUGCUCUGUCCUGUUCGUCAAAGAAUUUUGUGAUUUAGUGCUAUUAGUAUAAACAUAAAUAAAUGCUCUGUUUUAAUCUGGCAA
This is a long non-coding RNA of Culex quinquefasciatus (southern house mosquito), 738 nucleotides long. RefSeq lists it as uncharacterized. NCBI's taxonomy places the organism in Eukaryota, Metazoa, Arthropoda, Insecta, Diptera, Culicidae. The transcript has 2 exons. The record is from RefSeq and is a predicted model, not a curated record.